Lolium rigidum is the source of this 840-nucleotide long non-coding RNA. RefSeq lists it as uncharacterized. The transcript has 4 exons. The record is from RefSeq and is a predicted model, not a curated record. Lineage: Eukaryota; Viridiplantae; Streptophyta; Magnoliopsida; Poales; Poaceae.
AACCGCACUUGGUCCACAACGCCGCCGCCUCCUUCCUAGAUUCACCCACCUUACGAAGCAGGGUGGGGGCGUUUGCAUCCAGUACCAAGACCUUCUCCGUUCACGUUGUAGGAUGUACGCCUGGAGAACCUGAAAUGCAGUGUUUUUUUAUAUAUUUCAGUUCAUACUCGAGAUUACGACGAGGGUCAACUUAUUGAGAGAACGAGCCGUACCAAUUGUUCCUGCACAUGAUGGUCUAAGCUGCUACAGAAAAGCAGUUUGUGGGAUUCUAAAAUAGCAAUCAAAGAAAUUUCUUUACUAUCAAUAUAGUGUUUGGAUGGCAGCUCGCAUGGAUCUCGUGGAGAGUGAGAUUUCAGCAUGUUCUAUGGAAACAAAUGAUUGUGAUGAUGUUGAAUCCAUUGUUGUCGCAAGCUCUACGAUAUCAGCGCACAGGUUUAAUAUGUUCUAUGGAAACAAAUGAUUGUGUGACAUUUCUGUGAUGAAUUGAUUUAACUUGCUUUAGGCAUGAGCUUAAGGGAAGAAAACCAACCAUGACGACUGUUCUCUUCGUCAAUUACAAACAAAUCUUGCCCAUGCUUUUAAGCCUCAACUUGUAUACAAUAGGAAAUUUGAAGCACAACAAUGCGCUCUGUAGAUUCAUUCAGAAGCAGAUGCCGCCGCGGAAUGUCAUGUUCGCAAUAUGUAUAUAUUAUCUAAUUUAUGGAUUAGCUGGUAUUUGUAGAACUAAUCUGAAUGCAAACUUUGUACUGGCCACCUGAUGGUCAUGAUGCAGUCCAGGCUCCAUUGUAUCAUAAGAUGACGCCCAUGGGUUGAAGAUUAAUGCACUUUCUAAUUAUCUGG